This is a non-coding RNA of Nicotiana tabacum (common tobacco), 659 nucleotides long. Lineage: Eukaryota; Viridiplantae; Streptophyta; Magnoliopsida; Solanales; Solanaceae. The record is from RefSeq and is a predicted model, not a curated record.
UUUAGUUCUGGCCUUCCGGUUUUACACCUUUUCCGAAUCUCGAAAGUUGCGUUAAACCCAGUUCCUAAAUCCCCAGAACCUCUCGUACAGAGAAAAGCAAGUUUGAUCUGAUACUGUUCGAUAAAUAUGCAGAAGAAGAGCUUCACUCUUCUACAGACAAUUGCAAUUUCAGGUGUAUUCUCUGCCGUUUCUGGCUGGUAUGGGUUCAUGUUCGGGAGAGAGUCAGCUCGGAAGGAGCUAGGAGGUUUGAUUGAAAGUCUCCGCAAUCCCAAUUCUGACUCCGUCUCACCUCCCUCCUCUCACUCCUAAUUCUAGCAGGUGCUAAAGAAAGGUAAGAUAACACAAGUUUGGAUGAUGGAAGAAAAUGAGUGCCUCAUCUCUUCUUGAAGCUGAGACAAGUGAAGGUACCUGGACCUUGGUAGAAAGCUCUUUGAGAUCGUGACAACAACUUAGAUUUAAAUGUUUUUCUCGUUCUUCUGCUGGAAAAUUUACUUCCUUGUUCAUGAUAACUAAAUUGCCUGUACUAUCGAGAUAGAAGUCUGUAUAAUGAUGUUCUUCAUUGAGAAGGAAGUAGUGAAAUUGUGCUGGAUAUCAGAUAUCAAUUGUUGACUACUGGUUUAUUUUUCCCACUCCAUGCAACUAUGGAAAAUUCUGCAUUA